This 467-nucleotide ribosomal RNA is filed under the name uncultured bacterium. RNAcentral's name for it is "partial 16S ribosomal RNA". It matches the Rfam family "Bacterial small subunit ribosomal RNA", at positions 28 to 507 of the family's 1533-position model. The record is from RNAcentral.
GACGAACGCUGGCGGCGUGCUUAACACAUGCAAGUCGAACGGAAAGGCCCUGCUUUUGUGGGGUGCUCGAGUGGCGAACGGGUGAGUAACACGUGAGUAACCUGCCCUUGACUUUGGGAUAACUUCAGGAAACUGGGGCUAAUACCGGAUAGGAGCUCCUGCUGCAUGGUGGGGGUUGGAAAGUUUCGGCGGUUGGGAUGGACUCGCGGCUUAUCAGCUUGUUGGUGGGGUAUUGGCUUACCAAGGCUUUGCCGGGUAGCCGGCCUGAGAGGGUGACCGGGCACAAUGGGACUGAGGGACGGAGCAGAAGCCUACGGGCGGCAGUAGUGGGGAAUAUGGCACAAUGGGGGGAAGCCUGAUGCAGCAACGCCGCGUGCGGGAUGACGGCCUUCGGGUUGUAAACCGCUGUCGCCUGUGACGAAGCGUGAGUGACGGUAAUGGGUAAAGAAGCACCGGCUAACUACGUG